RNAcentral lists this ribosomal RNA (1366 nucleotides) under Janthinobacterium sp. FT14W. RNAcentral describes it as "partial 23S ribosomal RNA". It matches the Rfam family "Bacterial large subunit ribosomal RNA", at positions 1583 to 2925 of the family's 2925-position model. Lineage: Bacteria; Pseudomonadati; Pseudomonadota; Betaproteobacteria; Burkholderiales; Oxalobacteraceae. The record is from RNAcentral.
UCACGAAGCAAUCGGAAGUGGUUCCAAGAAAAGCCUCUAAGCUUCAGUCAUACGAGACCGUACCGCAAACCGACACAGGUGGGCGAGAUGAGUAUUCUAAGGCGCUUGAGAGAACUCGGGAGAAGGAACUCGGCAAAUUGGUACCGUAACUUCGGGAAAAGGUACGCCCCGGUAGCUUGAUUGGUUUACUCCAUGAGGGUGAAAGGGUUGCAAUAAACUGGUGGCUGCGACUGUUUAAUAAAAACACAGCACUCUGCAAACACGAAAGUGGACGUAUAGGGUGUGACGCCUGCCCGGUGCUGGAAGAUUAAAUGAUGGGGUGCAAGCUCUUGAUUGAAGUCCCAGUAAACGGCGGCCGUAACUAUAACGGUCCUAAGGUAGCGAAAUUCCUUGUCGGGUAAGUUCCGACCUGCACGAAUGGCGUAACGAUGGCCACACUGUCUCCUCCCGAGACUCAGCGAAGUUGAAAUGUUUGUGAUGAUGCAAUCUACCCGCGGCUAGACGGAAAGACCCCAUGAACCUUUACUGUAGCUUUGCAUUGGACUUUGAACCAAUCUGUGUAGGAUAGGUGGGAGGCUUUGAAGCGGGGACGCUAGUUCUCGUGGAGCCAACCUUGAAAUACCACCCUGGUUUGUUUGAGGUUCUAACCUUGGUCCGUUAUCCGGAUCGGGGACAGUGCAUGGUAGGCAGUUUGACUGGGGCGGUCUCCUCCUAAAGUGUAACGGAGGAGUUCGAAGGUACGCUAGAUACGGUCGGACAUCGUGUUGAUAGUGCAAUGGCAUAAGCGUGCUUAACUGCGAGACUGACAAGUCGAGCAGGUACGAAAGUAGGACAUAGUGAUCCGGUGGUUCUGUAUGGAAGGGCCAUCGCUCAACGGAUAAAAGGUACUCUGGGGAUAACAGGCUGAUUCCUCCCAAGAGUUCAUAUCGACGGGGGAGUUUGGCACCUCGAUGUCGGCUCAUCACAUCCUGGGGCUGUAGCCGGUCCCAAGGGUAUGGCUGUUCGCCAUUUAAAGUGGUACGUGAGCUGGGUUUAAAACGUCGUGAGACAGUUUGGUCCCUAUCUGCCGUGGGCGUUGGAAAUUUGAAGGGGGCUGCUCCUAGUACGAGAGGACCGGAGUGGACGAACCUCUGGUGUACCGGUUGUCACGCCAGUGGCAUUGCCGGGUAGCUAAGUUCGGAAGAGAUAACCGCUGAAAGCAUCUAAGCGGGAAACUUGCCUUGAGAUGAGAUUUCCCAGAGCCUUGAGCUCUUUGAAGGGUCGUUCGAGACCAGGACGUUGAUAGGCUGGGUGUGGAAGUGCAGUAAUGCAUUAAGCUAACCAGUACUAAUUGCCCGUACGGCUUGUCCCUAUAACCUUAGCAGGU